GAGAGUUAAAUAGUACGUGAAAUUGUUGAAAGGGAAACGAUUGAAGUCAGUCAUACCAACGGGAAAUCAACCUCUUGAGUUUGGUCUCGUGGGUUUCGAAGAGUUUAAAAGCCUUCGGAUUUUCGAGAUUGGGCUCUUCUGGUGUACUUUCUCGUACGGUUAGUCAACAUCGGUUUUGAAUGUCAUAAAAUGACUGGAGGAAUGUGGCUUCGAUCUCGUAUUGAAGUGUUAUAGCCUUUGGUAGAUGUGAUGUUCGAGACCGAGGAUUGCAACGGAUACCCUUCUGGGCUAUUCGUCUGAUCUCUGAAACGUUGCCUUGAUGUCGAAAGCUUGCUUAUGAUGUUAGGGUAUUACGGUCAAAAGGUUAGAACGGAUUAAAUUCGUUAAGGAUGUUGACGUAAUGACUUUAAACGA
RNAcentral lists this ribosomal RNA (414 nucleotides) under uncultured Funneliformis. Its description in RNAcentral is "partial 28S ribosomal RNA". Lineage: Eukaryota; Fungi; Glomeromycota; Glomeromycetes; Glomerales; Glomeraceae. The record is from RNAcentral.